Molecule: long non-coding RNA, 3880 nt
Organism: Dromaius novaehollandiae (emu)
Lineage: Eukaryota; Metazoa; Chordata; Aves; Casuariiformes; Dromaiidae
Exons: 2
Source: RefSeq, a predicted model, not a curated record
CCCAUAAGUAACAUUGUAGCAUUUUCAAACACUGAUAAAAAGAACUGGGCCUUGCCAGGAUACAGCUCUCUAUCUAGGAGAGGUUCUUAAAUAACGCUACGUGUUUUGUGUUGAGAGUGAAGUGUGGUUCUUUUUACCCUGGAAAAAAACUUUCUGGACAAUGUACAGGAUGCCAUGAUUCCUAUGAUGCACGGACUUAGUAAAAGCUUUCUCAGUUUCAUCACUCUCACAAGCAGAGUUCAUCAAAUCAUCAAUCACAACCAUAUUUGCUUUAUUAGGGGGAAAUAAACAGUUAUCACUAAGACUGUCAGUUAAGUCCUCCACAAAUUUGAUAAAAGGAUAUUUACAGAGCAGUUACUGAUACAACGGUUGCCAACAACUGUAACACCACGCAAUAUUCUCAGGCAUAACAGAAAGCAAGUGGUCGGCAUUCUCCAAAAGACUUUUUACAAAAUAACUUUUCCCAAGGUUGCUAGGCCCUGCCAGAACAGCAGAAAAGAGGUGCUUCUAGCACACGCCCAUGAUCAAAAGCCAUAGGGGAGGCUGUUCAAUUUUUUAGUCAGUACCCUUUUGGCAUAGACCACCUUCUGCGUCUUCCGGAGGGGCCUGGUUUCUAUCAUCCACUUCUGCUUGUUCCUGACAAUAGAGUGCUGCUUUAUCAUGAUUUUCCUAAGGGCUAUGUGGAUUUGCACCAUAGUCCAACACAAGAUCCUCCAUGGAUCUUUUCUCCUCUUGUUGCAUUUAGAGUGAUGCCUUUACUUUUAAAUAACACUUCCCCAGAGUGCAGGUAGCUGUAGGAUUUGGAACCCAAUGACAUGAACUUGGUACUAUGCUCAUCUGGCAGCAACUCACUCAUUAGCAGUGUUACUUCCCAACUCUCAGGAAUGGCCCUAGACUGGGUUACCCCCUAUAUGGAGUGCAAUAAUCCCAUGCUCCAGAACCCUGAUGACCUAUUUGCUGAUCUGGAACAGUUCUUUGGAGACCAUAAUUGUGCAGCUGAGGCUGCCUUGCUGGAGUUCUGUCAGGGGAGUCAGUCAGCUGCUGACUACACAAUUCCAUUUAUGAAUGUGGCUGUGGAAACUGUGUGAGAACAAGCCCUUAUGGCCCACUUUAGGUUGGGACUGACUGAGGCCCUCAAAGAUGAGAUGGCCAGGGUGGACCCUCCCCAGAGCCUGGGGCAGCUCUCAGACCUGGCUGUCAACCUGGAGAGGUGGCUUAUGGCAUGCCAGAGAUGAUUAUUUUUUUAACUAGGAAAUGACCUUGCCCUUGCUAGCAACACUUUUUUUUAAUGAAAGCUAAAUGCAUUUUAAAUUUAUAGUUUGAGGUAGCCCAUCUUUAUAACAAUAUCACUUGAGUCACAAAGUUAAACUUCCUAAAGGCACAAAAUGUUGAAUUCAAGUUACUUAUGCUCCCUAUAUUCUGUUCUCUCAUUCUAAUUAUGAGAUCAAAUGCAAUUGUUCUUCAGUAUUAUAUACCAUUUCACCAUACUUCCUUAACUGCUUAAUGAUGAAAAGCAGGCUGAACUCUCUGUAUUCUAAGGAAAAAGUCCUAAACCCUUGAAAACAUCAUGUUAAAUGUCAUUCCAAAGUAGAAACUGGCCUGAAUAUAUUGUUUUCCUCAUGUUUCUAUUUUUCAAUUAUACUGGUGUCAUUGCUGAGUGUUGGGGACCGAAAUAGAAUGAUGCUGUGUAAGACAGCAGAGAAUCUCUAACGCAGAAGGUAAUGAUGUGGUAACUAUGAUUUGUGGCCAGAAUGUGUGCACGUGAGUUGCCAGUGAUCAUGUGCCUUCCUGCCUACGUGCCAGCAGUCACGGUGUGCCUUCCUGCCUACGUGCCAGCAGCUGCGGUGGGCCUGCCCUGCUGGACUGUCCUGCCCGCCUGCCAGGCAUCAGAAGACGUCUUCCUACCUAUCACAAGAUGCCACAAUGCCAAGGAGAUACUUGGAGGAGUGGCUGAGCUUGAUUGCUAUAUAACCAGCCAUUGUGUUUUCAAUAAAGGAUCUUUUGCACUACCCUACCUCAGGUCUGUGUCGUCGUAUGCCACAAAUGGCGCCCGAAUUGGGAUCUCAAAAACAGAAGCAUGAAAAAUAGAAGCAUGAAAAACAGAACCAAUGAAUUUCAAAAAUAGAAGCAUGAAAAACAGAGUCAAGGAAUUUCAGAAUAGAAGCAUUGAAGAAUGAAGCAUGAAAAACAGAACCAAUGAAUCCGGUGGCAUAGCCCAGCUGAACUUCAGGACAGUUGGCAAUUGAGAGCUCCCAUCACCACCACAGAACGGCAGGAGUAAAAGACUCUGAUUAUGUGGGGGAGAUACAGAUUAUGGAGUAGACACCCUCUCCCCCGUGUUAUAUUAAAAAAGGGGAGAAGAUUGCCCAGCUGGUGCUGUUUAAGGUGAGUGGACCGAAAGGUCGGGGAGAGCACUUCGGGGGAUUCGGGAGCACCAACGUACCUCAAAUUAUGUGGGCACAUCAAAUUACCCAGAACCAGCCGCUUAUGACGUGUUACAUCAAUGGACGACCUUUCUCUGGUCUGGUGGAUACCGGAGCGGAUGUGUCAGUCAUCACGCAAUCAGACUGGCCCCAGGACUGGCCUUUAAGGAAUCCAGCCGCGGCCAUUGUAGGCGUUGGUGGAGAGCAAUUUGCCAAGCAAAGUGCCCAGCCGUUAUUGGUGUUGGGCCCCGAAGGACAGCGGGGCCAUAUCGCCCCCUAUGUUGUGCAAGCCCCUUGUACCCUUUGGGGCCGCGAUCUGUUAAGUCAAUGGGGAGUCGUCAUAGGGACAAAUGUAUCCUAAGGGUCACUGAAGUGCAGCCUUAUGUAAAACUCACCUGGAAGACUGAUGAGCCAGUGUGGGUGAAUCAGUGGCCCUUAAAAGCUGAAAGGCUGCAAAAGCUACAUGGACUGGUACAAGAGCAGCUUUGGAAGGCUUUGUAUGUUCUCAAUUUCUUAAACCGUUAUACGGACCAAAGUGCAAUUAAUAAGCAUUUCUCAUGUCCUACAGGGCGAGAACGACCUCGAGUUCACUACAGGAACCUGGAAACGGGUCAAUGGAGUGAACCAGUAGACUUAAUAACAUGGGGGAAAGGUUAUGCUUGUGUUUCCACAGGUAACGGACCUCGUUGGAUACCUGCACGACUGAUUCGACCUGUUGAUGUAUUCCUCGGGAUACCAAACGAGGGCCGAGAGCCAGUUAAGAUGAACCUAUCUUGGGGUAUUUUCGGCAGUGUUUGCCUGCCUUGUGCAGGAUCACUAUUAAUUCACAGAAGUUUACUGCACUUACACGAUUGCACUGAUAAGUUGUAGAUAGAAUAUGAUCGCACUGAUAAGUUGUGGAUAGAGCACGACCUCACUAAUAAGUUGUAGAUAGCAUCAGAGUGGAACCCUUUUAAGGGAUAAGACUGGACGUUAGGUUUGAGGGCAUAAGUUAAGAGGGCCCUGACAUGUGAAUUGGUAAUCUUGGUAAGAUUUCUAGCCCUUGUUAUCUGUCUCCCCUACCUGACAAGCCUUAAGUUUAAUAAAUAAAAAGGGGGGAUAUGUUGGGGACCAAAAUAGAAUGAUGCUGUGUAAGACAGCAGAGAAUCUCUAAGGCAGAAAGUGAUGAUGUGGUAACUAUGAUUUGUGGCCAGAAUGUGUGCACGUGAGUUGCCAGUGAUCAUGUGCCUUCUUGCCUACGUGCCAGCAGUCACGGUGUGCCUUCCUGCCUACGUGCCAGCAGCUGUGGUGGGCCUGUCCUGCUGGACUGUCCUGCCCGCCUGCCAGGCAUCAGAAGACGUCUUCCUACCUAUCACAAGAUGCCACAAUGCCAAGGAGAUACUUGGAGGAGUGGCUGAGCUUGAUUGCUAUAUAACCAGCCAUUGUGUUUUCAAUAAAGGAUCUUUUGCACUACCCUA